GCUCGCUCUAGAUCUCUCCCCGGUCUCUAUAAAUAAGCAAAACUUAUCGUUGCAUUAUUCAUCCAAGCUCGCAGAUCUACUGUUGUUGUGUUGUUUUUGUUCCUGUAACUCACUUUGUAGUAGCAAGUUAGGGCCAUGGCAAUGAAGCAAACCCAUUUGUUCCUCUUCCUCGUCGCCCUUUUCUUAGUUUUUGCCCUGGUGUUGGCCGGAGAGCAACAACAUGAAGAGAACGAGAACCGCAUCAAUGGUGCAGCUGGUAAGCUCGACGGACUGUUGGGAGGUGGUGGUGGGCUUGGGGGAGGGCGAAGGCCUUGCUUCCGCUGUAGAAUUAGAGGUAAAUUCUGCUGUGGCUUUAUAUGCUGCUCUGCUGAAGAAUAUGAACAGUACAUCAAGGCCCAAGGUGUCCCUCACAACUGAAACUGAUGGGUGCUGCGCAUCAUUAAUGUUAUUAGUAUGUAAUUUCACAUCAAGCAUAUGGUUGAUGUCUAAAUAAGAGCAUGUUGGUAGAAAGCAUGCAGUUUGUCGAGUGCAAGCAUAAGUCCUUUGUGGCAUGUGUUUUCCUUGUUUAAUGAAAACUGAAUGAGCUGUUUGCCUUCAAA
This is a long non-coding RNA of Nymphaea colorata (pocket water lily), 599 nucleotides long. RefSeq lists it as uncharacterized. The record is from RefSeq and is a predicted model, not a curated record. The transcript is spliced from 2 exons. Lineage: Eukaryota; Viridiplantae; Streptophyta; Magnoliopsida; Nymphaeales; Nymphaeaceae.